AGAGAGAGACAUGCGCGCAUAUCAAUAAGCGGAGGAAAAGAAACUAACAAGGAUUCCCUUAGUAACGGCGAGUGAAGCGGGAAGAGCUCAAAUUUGAAAUCUUCAAGGUUUUACCUUGACGAAUUGUAGUUUAAAGAAGUGUUUUCUGCUGAAGUUUUGGUAAAAGUUCUUUGGAGUAGGACAUCAUAGAGGGUGAGAAUCCCGUAUUUGACCAUUAUUUUCAGCUUUGUGAUACACUUUCAAAGAGUCGGAUUGUUUGGGAAUGCAGUCCAAAAUGGGUGGUAAAUUUCAUCUAAAGCUAAAUAUUGGCGAGAGACCGAUAGCGAACAAGUACCGUGAGGGAAAGAUGAAAAGAACUUUGAAAAGAGAGUUAAACAGUACGUGAAAUUGUCAAAAGGGAAGCGUUUGACACCAGUGUUGUUUUCUCGAAAAUCAAUUAAAAAUGGCUCGAUUUUGUAUUGUUGAGACCUUAAAAGCUCACUGUACAUUUUUCGUGUCUUUUUUAAUGCACUUUUCGUUUAACAAGUCAACAUCAGUUUCUUUUGUUGUAAAAGGGUCAUUGGAAGGUGGCUUUCUUUUCGGAGAAAGUGUUUAUAGCCUUUGGCCUCUGCAAUCGGAAGAGACUGAGGUCUGCAGCGUAGACUCUUCGGGGUUAGAUACAUUUGUGCUAAGUUAUAGCUUUUUAUAGACAACUUGUUGACUAUAAUUAGUCUUGUAGCUUACUCGCUUAUGCUAUUUUACCUACGCUUAGGAUGUUGAAGAUGUAGCACAUCAU
This 775-nucleotide ribosomal RNA is filed under the name uncultured Neocallimastigales. RNAcentral describes it as "partial large subunit ribosomal RNA". It matches the Rfam family "Eukaryotic large subunit ribosomal RNA", at positions 23 to 634 of the family's 3401-position model. The record is from RNAcentral. Lineage: Eukaryota; Fungi; Neocallimastigomycota; Neocallimastigomycetes; Neocallimastigales.